CUAUAUAUAUAUAUAUAUAUAUAUAGUUGAGCUAGAAUACUCUCAAAAGCACCAAUGAGAUGGUGCUUUUGAGUUUUUAACGAUUAGAUGAAGGAAUGCAAGGUUGUAAUGAUGGUGGUAGGUGGUGGUAGGUGGAAUAGUGUUGAUCCAAAGGCUAUUAGUAAUGAAGGAGUAGAUUCAAGGGCUAGAAACCUAAAAGCACCAAUGAGGUGAUACUUUAAAAAGUAUUCUAGCUCAAUUUUAUAUAUAUAUAUAUAUAUAUCUGGUAUGCUUCUGGAAGCAUGGAACACUUCGUGCUUCAAAGUCGUUUUCGAUGUUGGGACUUUCGAAUCGACGAUCAGCUCCGUUAGACUUGAUCUAGAGUAUUUUAAGUAUCUAGAAAUAAAUUUUGCGAUUUUUUUAUAUCAUUUGCCUAGUGAUCGAAGUGGCUCAAAAUCAACGGCUGAAAAUAAAAAUCUUACAAAAUAUGAUGAUAUGACAUUAAAAUUUUAGAUCAAAAAUAUUGAUCUUGUUUUAUAUAGUAUAAAGAAUUUUAUAUCAAAAUUUUAUGUGAUUUGGAUAUUUCUACACCGUUAAACUUGCAAACGGCUCACCACGGUCAUUAAAACUAUUGAUUUUGAACCCCUUCGAUUACUAGGCAAAUGAUAUCGAAAAAUCACAAAAUUUAUUUUCUAGAUACUUCAAGUACUCUAGAUCAAGUUUAACGAAGCCGAUCGUCGAUUCGAAAGUCUCAAUAUCGAAAACAACUUAGAAGCAUGGAUGGCUCCGUGCUUCCAGAAGCAUACCAGCUCACUCUCUCUAUAUAUAUAUAUAGUCUGUUAUCGAGUUUUUUGCGUUAGAUUUAACCAUUUGACUAUUUUUACCUGUUAGAUUAUACUAUUCAACUAAUAACUCACUUAACCCUAGAGGGCCCCCACAUCAUCCUAACCGUACAUUUUUUUAUUCAAGAACUGAAAAUCUAAUAGCACCAAGUGCUUGGUGCUAUUGAUAGUAUAUAUAUAUAUAUAAUAUAUUAUAUAUAUAUAUAUAUAUAUAUAUAUAGUCCGGCUACUAUACUAUUGAUAGUAUUGAUACUAUUGAGUUUUCUAUCGUUAGAUCUACCCUUUCAUCAUUUCCACCCGUUAGAUUAUACUAUUAAACCAACCACCCGCUCAACCCUAGGGGACCACUAUCAUCCUAACCGCACAUCCUUUCAUCCAACGGCCAAAAACUCAAUAGUACCAAGGGCUUGGUACUAUUGAUAGUAUAGUAGCAUAAAUCAUAUAUAUAUAUAUUACAAUUUGAAUUUGAGGCCAAUGCAAAUAUAAAGAGACCUAUAUUUUGUAAAUUUUAGUUAUUAGAUUAAGAUUUUAAUUCAAUUUGUGCUCAGCUCAUUAAUAAAUAAGCCGAACACGAACAGAAUUUUUCAGCUCAAUAUUUUAACGAAACAGCUUGUGUUUCAGCUAGUUAAUUAAAUGAGCCGAACAUGAGCUGGUCCAGCUUG
Molecule: long non-coding RNA, 1483 nt
Filed under: Ananas comosus (pineapple)
Lineage: Eukaryota; Viridiplantae; Streptophyta; Magnoliopsida; Poales; Bromeliaceae
Description: long non-coding RNA (ACOM_LNC036259)
Source: RNAcentral